UGGGGAAUAUUGCACAAUGGGCGCAAGCCUGAUGCAGCCAUGCCGCGUGUGUGAAGAAGGCCUUCGGGUUGUAAAGCACUUUCAGCGAGGAGGAAGGUGGUGGACUUAAUACGUUCAUCAAUUGACGUUACUCGCAGAAGAAGCACCGGCUAACUCCGUGCCAGCAGCCGCGGUAAUACGGAGGGUGCAAGCGUUAAUCGGAAUUACUGGGCGUAAAGCGCACGCAGGCGGUUUGUUAAGUCAGAUGUGAAAUCCCCGGGCUCAACCUGGGAACUGCAUUUGAAACUGGCAAGCUAGAGUCUCGUAGAGGGGGGUAGAAUUCCAGGUGUAGCGGUGAAAUGCGUAGAGAUCUGGAGGAAUACCGGUGGCGAAGGCGGCCCCCUGGACGAAGACUGACGCUCAGGUGCGAAAGCGUGGGGAGCAAACAGGAUUAGAUACCCCUGGUAGUCCACGCUGUAAACGAUGUCGAUUUUGGAGGUUGUGCCCUUGAGGCGUGGCUUCCGGAGCUAACGCGUUAAAUCGACCGCCUGGGGAGUACGGCCGCAAGGUUAAACU
RNAcentral lists this ribosomal RNA (555 nucleotides) under uncultured bacterium. RNAcentral describes it as "partial 16S ribosomal RNA". It matches the Rfam family "Bacterial small subunit ribosomal RNA", at positions 355 to 901 of the family's 1533-position model. The record is from RNAcentral.